GACGUAGGGGGCUAGCGUUGUCCGGAAUCAUUGGGCGUAAAGCGCGCGUAGGCGGCCCGGUAAGUCCGCUGUGAAAGUCAAAGGCUCAACCUUUGAAUGUCAGCGGAUACUGCCGGGCUAGAGUCCGGAAGAGGCGAGUGGAACUCCUGGUGUAGCGGUGGAAUGCGCAGAUAUCAGGAAGAACACCAACGGCGAAGGCAGCUCGCUGGGACGGAACUGACGCUAAGGCGCGAAAGCGUGGGGAGCGAACAGG
RNAcentral lists this ribosomal RNA (253 nucleotides) under uncultured bacterium. RNAcentral's name for it is "partial 16S ribosomal RNA". It matches the Rfam family "Bacterial small subunit ribosomal RNA", at positions 524 to 776 of the family's 1533-position model. The record is from RNAcentral.